Molecule: ribosomal RNA, 1016 nt
Filed under: Acinetobacter baumannii
Lineage: Bacteria; Pseudomonadati; Pseudomonadota; Gammaproteobacteria; Moraxellales; Moraxellaceae
Description: bacterial SSU rRNA
Rfam family: Bacterial small subunit ribosomal RNA
Source: RNAcentral
GCUUACUGCAGUCGAGCGGGGGAAGGUAGCUUGCUACUGGACCUAGCGGCGGACGGGUGAGUAAUGCUUAGGAAUCUGCCUAUUAGUGGGGGACAACAUCUCGAAAGGGAUGCUAAUACCGCAUACGUCCUACGGGAGAAAGCAGGGGAUCUUCGGACCUUGCGCUAAUAGAUGAGCCUAAGUCGGAUUAGCUAGUUGGUGGGGUAAAGGCCUACCAAGGCGACGAUCUGUAGCGGGUCUGAGAGGAUGAUCCGCCACACUGGGACUGAGACACGGCCCAGACUCCUACGGGAGGCAGCAGUGGGGAAUAUUGGACAAUGGGGGGAACCCUGAUCCAGCCAUGCCGCGUGUGUGAAGAAGGCCUUAUGGUUGUAAAGCACUUUAAGCGAGGAGGAGGCUACUUUAGUUAAUACCUAGAGAUAGUGGACGUUACUCGCAGAAUAAGCACCGGCUAACUCUGUGCCAGCAGCCGCGGUAAUACAGAGGGUGCGAGCGUUAAUCGGAUUUACUGGGCGUAAAGCGUGCGUAGGCGGCUUAUUAAGUCGGAUGUGAAAUCCCCGAGCUUAACUUGGGAAUUGCAUUCGAUACUGGUGAGCUAGAGUAUGGGAGAGGAUGGUAGAAUUCCAGGUGUAGCGGUGAAAUGCGUAGAGAUCUGGAGGAAUACCGAUGGCGAAGGCAGCCAUCUGGCCUAAUACUGACGCUGAGGUACGAAAGCAUGGGGAGCAAACAGGAUUAGAUACCCUGGUAGUCCAUGCCGUAAACGAUGUCUACUAGCCGUUGGGGCCUUUGAGGCUUUAGUGGCGCAGCUAACGCGAUAAGUAGACCGCCUGGGGAGUACGGUCGCAAGACUAAAACUCAAAUGAAUUGACGGGGGCCCGCACAAGCGGUGGAGCAUGUGGUUUAAUUCGAUGCAACGCGAAGACUUACCUGGGCCUUGACAUACUAGAAACUUUCCAGAAUGGAUUGGUGCCUUCGGGAUCUAGAUACGGCUGCAUGGCUGUCGUCAGCUCGUGUCG